This is a long non-coding RNA of Eleginops maclovinus (Patagonian blennie), 311 nucleotides long. RefSeq lists it as uncharacterized. Lineage: Eukaryota; Metazoa; Chordata; Actinopteri; Perciformes; Eleginopidae. The transcript has 2 exons. The record is from RefSeq and is a predicted model, not a curated record.
ACAAGUGUGAGCAUAGGACCAGCAUCUGUGGAGGAACUCCAGGCCUGAAGGGGGCAGAGAGAGCUCACCCAGACACCCAACAGACAGGAUGCAACCCAUGUUUCUGGAGGGACCGAUUUCACCUGCGCACCUCUAAUCAAGCAUGAGUAUAAAAUGUUUGGAGUUAGCUCCGCGAGCCCUCUUUGCUCGGUCUCCUCAGCCUACUGACAGCUCAUGUUCAACCACAGACGCAACUGGUUAUCAACCUAUUCUUCCUCUGGAAUUUCACUUUGUGCCAUCAAUCUAAAAGAAAAUAAAUCACCAGAACGGAA